RNAcentral lists this ribosomal RNA (498 nucleotides) under uncultured bacterium. RNAcentral describes it as "partial 16S ribosomal RNA". It matches the Rfam family "Bacterial small subunit ribosomal RNA", at positions 30 to 523 of the family's 1533-position model. The record is from RNAcentral.
AUUGAACGCUGGCGGCAUGCCUUACACAUGCAAGUCGAACGGUAACAGGUCUUCGGAUGCUGACGAGUGGCGAACGGGUGAGUAAUACAUCGGAACGUGCCUAGUAGUGGGGGAUAACUACUCGAAAGAGUGGCUAAUACCGCAUGAGAUCUACGGAUGAAAGCAGGGGAUCGCAAGACCUUGUGCUACUAGAGCGGCCGAUGGCAGAUUAGGUAGUUGGUGGGAUAAAAGCUUACCAGGCCGACGAUCUGUAGCUGGUCUGAGAGUACGAUCGGCCACACUGGAACUGAGACACGGCCCAGACUCCUACGCGGGGCAGCAGUGGGGAAUUUUGGACAAUGGGCGCAAGCCUGAUCCAGCAAUGCCGCGUGCAGGAUGAAGGCCUUCGGGUUGUAAACUGCUUUUGUACGGAACGAAAAGCCUCGGGUUAAUACCCUGGGGUCAUGACGGUACCGUAAGAAUAAGCACCGGCUAACUACGUGCCAGCCGCCGCAGUAA